CAUUAAGUUACUUAAAGGGAAGUACUGGUCUUA
Molecule: transfer RNA, 33 nt
Filed under: Atymna querci
Lineage: Eukaryota; Metazoa; Arthropoda; Insecta; Hemiptera; Membracidae
Description: partial tRNA Lys
Source: RNAcentral